This 450-nucleotide ribosomal RNA is filed under the name uncultured bacterium. Its description in RNAcentral is "bacterial SSU rRNA". It matches the Rfam family "Bacterial small subunit ribosomal RNA", at positions 354 to 796 of the family's 1533-position model. The record is from RNAcentral.
GUGGGGAAUUUUGGACAAUGGGCGAAAGCCUGAUCCAGCAAUGCCGCGUGAGUGAAGAAGGCCUUCGGGUUGUAAAGCUCUUUUGUCAGGGAAGAAACGGUGAGGGCUAAUAUCCUUCGCUAAUGACGGUACCUGAAGAAUAAGCACCGGCUAACUACGUGCCAGCAGCCGCGGUAAUACGUAGGGUGCAAGCGUUAAUCGGAAUUACUGGGCGUAAAGCGUGCGCAGGCGGUUUUGUAAGUCUGACGUGAAAUCCCCGGGCUCAACCUGGGAAUUGCGUUGGAGACUGCAAGGCUAGAAUCUGGCAGAGGGGGGUAGAAUUCCACGUGUAGCAGUGAAAUGCGUAGAGAUGUGGAGGAACACCGAUGGCGAAGGCAGCCCCCUGGGUCAAGAUUGACGCUCAUGCACGAAAGCGUGGGGAGCAAACAGGAUUAGAUACCCCAGUAGUCC